GUGGUGGUGGUGUACUUGGAGAUGGUGUGUCCCAGUUAGCGAGCAGCCUCUUUCGUUUCGGCAGUAAGAAACGUGGCGUUUGCAUUUGUAAUGCCCAAUGUCGUAUGCAGGCUUUGGAGCAGCAAACAGCGCAAUUGGGUCAGCUGGAUCCCGCGCUGAGAACUCAUCAUGGCUCGCUGGAUCGUUUACUGCAGCAACAAGAGAAGCAGUCACAGCAGCAAAGACCCAGCGCUUCGGCUGUGCAUUCCAUUGGCGGUGUUGUAGAUGGUGGUGGGUCGGGCGUGCUUCUUGGCUCAGCUGAUUCUGAUGGUGAUGGCGAUGAUGAGAAAGAACCAGAACUUCCACCUCUCCCACCGUCGCGCAUAAAGUCCCAAACCCAAGUCACGCGACACAUUAAAGAACAGUUUGACCGCGGGGUAGAGGUAGAGAAGUUCUAUCAUCAAAUCAACGGUGAUAUAUUCGAGAUCACGCGGCGCGUACGUGCACGUGAUGAAGAUACUAUAGAACAGAAGGUGAUUAAACGAAAGGGUUCGGUACGACUGCCGCCGGAGCCACCGCCACGACAAGCCUCGGUAGCGGCAUCGGCUGCGCAUACACAGAUGUAUCAUGGACAUGGACAUAGUCAUCCGCAUUCCCAUCCGCAUGUACACCGUCAUACUGCGGAUGGCGAUGGAAAGCCUCAGCUGCCACCUCGUCGUCAGAAAAGUGCAGAGGAGGUGCCCGUGUCGAAAAGUACGACACGUCCACCUAAUGAAUUGGAGUGGUUUGAUCGUAAGGCGAAACAACGACACUCAGCGCGUUCAGCUGAAAGCGGCGCUGUGCGUGAGGAAACUAUUGAGUGGUUAGAACGACAAAGAGGACCAGUACGCACCUCUUCCGGACCCAGUGAAAUCACUGUUAUGAAAGAUGAGGUACCCGAUUGGCUACUGGAACAUCUGCCACGCAAACGUUCAAUGGCAGACCGGCCAUCUGAAUCUAAGACAAGCACUACUUCCUAUGCCAAAGCGCUUAAAGAAGAGCUCGCGGAACUGCUAAAAAAGCCAUUGUCCAGACAGAGCUCCGGGCCACCCGGCGAGUUUUCUAUACUCAAAACGGACAUUGUUGAGUGGCUAACGAAAUUGCAGACGUCGUCACGUAGUUCGGCACGUGAAGAGGCACCACCACCGCAAACGCGUCGCGCUCACCAUCGGCGCAACGGCAGUGGCGAUACCCAACGUUCUCAUUCCCAGGAAGAUGCCACCAUCACACAACAGGCGGCGCGCAAACGACACUCGCUGGGUCAUAGCGAUCGCAGCGAAGAAGAGAUGCUUGAUUGGAUAGCUUAUCCACUGAAUCGGUUGCAAUCUUUGGGUAAGCCACUACAACAACAGCCGCAGAUGCAAACGAUAGAAAGACGACAGCCUUUUGCCGAACACCAUCACAAGCCAGCAGCUCCUCCGCCUCAAACACAAUUACAAAUACAACACCAGCAACCCAUAUGCGCCGAACGAGAAAGGCGGUCGCAUGAACGCACACGCGAACGCAAGCUCCGACAUUCUGCCAGCGAAGUUGUGACCGCACUCACCACUUCAGCAGCGGCGCAGAGUCAGUUAGAACGCCUCUAUGCAAAGCCGCAUAAAGAACGUUAUCAGUAUGUGCCUAAGGAUACCAAGGAUAUGAUUAUGCUGCCUCCCAAGGAGAGCUCAAAGAUAACCACUGCCGUUACUAGCGCUUCUGUACGCGAGUCGAAGCGUGAACGUUCGCGCCGUCAUCAAACACAACGUUCGGCCACUGUCUCCGAUAUGUCCGGGCAUCAUAAUGGUGGCCUCAAAAGAAAAUCCUCAUCAGCUGAACGAGCACCGCGUUCGCCCUCGCCUUGUAAUGAUCCCGCCUGCCGCUUACUCCCCAUCUGCGCUGAUCCGCACUGCCGCUUCCCAGAAUGUCAGACAAUAGAUCGCAGCGCGGUAAUCUCCAUGACCACAUCGACAUCAACGAUGAACCUCGCACGUCAUCAGCAAGUGGCGCGUGCACAGAUGCACACAGUGCCCGCAAACAUAACUUCAGAUGACACACCAACGCCGCCACCACCACCGCCUCCUACGUCACAGCAGCAACAAUUCCAACCCCAGCGACGGCUAGUGAUAUGCCACGAGUGUAGGUCGUGUGCACCAUUACUUACCUGCCAGAAUCGUAAAUGCUUCAAUGCCGCCAAAUGCAACUCACUGCCCCGCAGCGCAGCAGAUUUUAAUCGGCUGCGCACCACUCUCGUUCAACCGCCAACAACGCUCGACGAUAUAGAACCAGCGCCUGAAACGCCAUCUCCACAAAUGCCUCGCCACCCCGGCAUGCAGUAUCGCAGCAACUCACAACCGAAUACACUGCAACGAGGCGAUUCCGCUGCCGGUUUAUGGCAACAGGAUGGUGUUGACGGCGCACUGGUGGGGAGCGGCCACUCGAUGGUAACCGGAAUGACAACCGUCAUACAGAGCUCACAACUCCCACUGCCACCUUCGUCGCUGCACAUCGCAUCUGCAACGAAUGGCCGACAUUUCUAUAACGGUCGCAAUGGCAACGGUAUGUCGCAUCUGAACGGCACUAAUGGCAAACUAAUGAAAUCCGCGUCAGCGGCCUCGUUAAAUUCGCGUCGACGUCGUCACAAAACGGUGCAUUUCGGUGAGAAUUUACUUCGAGAAGUUUGUCAAAAUCGUAAACUAAUCAAAACUGAACAAGUUCCGUCCGGUUCGGCGCCGAUGAAGGCCAACAUACAGAUGCUUUACAAUUUCGUUGAAGGUGUGCUGAGCGCGUGGGUAGACGACGACGAGGAGCAGGUGCGUUCCGGUGCCGAAUCAGAGCCCGAACAAGGCACAAUGGCACUAAAGCCGAUUUACCGUUGUAAUCGGUUGCGCUAUCAGUGCAUCAAACGAAUUGUUGAGGAAGCGGCCGAGUUGCAUGGGACGUUAAAAUUGGGCAACUCACGCUAUCGUCAUAGGCACUGGCGAAGUACGGCCAAGCAAUGCAACGAAAUGUUUCUACGAAAGAUAUCUGAUGAUGAUCGAAUGAGCUUAACUACAGCCGUAUCUGAUGAAGAUGAUGGCGAAAGUGUCAUGGCGUCACCAUAUAAAGCAAAAGCAACUGGAACUGCUGCAUCCUCAUUCAAUUGUACUGGUGCUGUACGCAAAGCUGGUUUCCUAUCGGUGAAAAAAUGGUUAUUACGCAAGAAGCACCAAAUCGAACUGGCCCGCAAACGAGGCUGGAAAGGCUAUUGGGUUUGCCUCAAAGGCACCACUCUACUCUUCUAUCCAUGCGAUUCACGUGAGGGUCGCAGUGUAGAAGCGGCACCAAAACAUCUAAUCAUUGUCGAUGGUGCAAUUAUGCAACCGAUACCGGAACAUCCCAAACGUGAUUAUAUAUUCUGUUUGAGUACAGCAUUCGGUGAUGCGUAUCUAUUCCAGGCGCCCUGUCAGGUUGAACUAGAAAACUGGGUAAACAGCAUCCACAGCGCCUGUGCUGCAGCCUUUGCCCGCCAUCGUGGAAAAACAGGAACUUUACAUCUUUUGCAAGAAGAGAUUUUCCGUUUGGAAAAAGCCAUUGAAUCGGACCACAAGUUGAAGCACAUGGCUGAGCUGCAGCAAUCGGUAGUCACCGACCAAGAUACACGCCAUCAAAUACAAACACAAAUUCUACAGUGGGAGGAAAAUUUGGAGCGUUUACAUUGUGAACAGUUCCGCCUACGUUGCUAUAUGGCGUCGUUGCAGAGUGGUGAAUUGCCAAAUCCCAAAUCGUUACUUACACACGUGUCACGACCAACUAAGAAUACUUUGAACAAAUUGGGCGUUUUUACCGUCUCAUCAUUCCACGCCUUUAUAUGUGCUCGUUCUCCAUCUUUGCUGAAUAAUUUAUUGGCUGGACGUGGUGCCACUAAACGUCGACCACCAAUGCUAUCCCGUUCGAAUAGCGGUUCCAGUCGACGUUCCAUGCAGAUGAAUUCACGUGACGAACCGGAAAAAACCUUCAAAGUUGCCAUGCCUGAUAACGCUUACGCCACAGUCUAUCUACGUGACGCAAUGUCGGUGGAAGAGUUUUUGGCUAGUGCAUGUGCUCGCCGAAAUCUCAAUCCGAUGGAACAUUUUGUACGUGUGAAGAAACGACGUGACAUGGAGGAUCAUAACUACUUUGUGCCACAUCGCAAUGAUUUGAUUGAAAAUUACUUGCAUAAUCACGAAUUCGUUGAAGUUUGCAUGAAGAUACUCUAUCAAGUGGAGUUGCAUCGUACAACACUCGACCAAAUGUGGGGCUUCUCCGUCGAAGCGGAACUGAUCGAGAAUGCCGAACGGCAGGAUGAACUCUGUUGUUAUGUUAGCCGAGUGGAGGAUAAGAGUGUGGCUAUGCAGAAUGGUAUUAUCAAAGGAGACGAAAUAAUGGUGAUCAACGCUGCAAUUGUGUCUGACUUGGAUAUGAUGUACUUGGAGAGCGUACUGCAAGAGGAGCAAUCACUAUGCAUGAUGAUGCGCUCAUCGCGCACUGAGCCCCCAGAUCUAGUUGGCAUUAUGCGCGUCACUGAUGACAUGAUUGAUUCAUUGGUUUGUCCACCACCACCAUCGGAUCCACCCAUAAUGAGCGAGGAGAUGAUAUCCGGUUUAAUCGUACCAGCGCCAGGUUGGAAUGGCACCGGUAAGGAUUUAUAUUCACCUGAGGCAGAAAGCUCACCGGCACCAUCCUCCGUUGAACAGACACCAGCACAAAUGGUCGCAGCCGCCACCAAGCCGACUUCACGUACGAGCAGUUUUGAAAUUGAGAACCUUCUCAAGACCGCAGAGCAGGUUACCGGAUUUUGUCGUUCACCUCAGGAAACACGUAAAUCCAGCCCGACCGGUUCGGUCACAUCUUCUGUCUCUAAUGCCGCACUGACACCAUCACGUCAACUCACUGAUGCUGAGAAAUUACGUAAGGUCAUCUUGGAGUUAGUCGAUACAGAACGUACCUAUGUCAAGCACUUGAACAAUCUACUGGAAAACUAUUUGGAACCGAUGAAACGCGAAACAUUCUUAUCGAAUGCUGAGAUAAAUGCACUCUUCGGUAACAUACAUGAAAUUGUUACAUUCCAGAGGCAAUUCUUGCAAAAUCUCGAGGAAGCUUUGGAGUUGGAACCAGAUUUUCAUAAAUUCGACCAUUCCAGUCAGUUCCGGAAUGUUCUCUUUGCAAUCGGUUCGGCUUUCUUGUACUACGUCAACCACUUCAAGCUUUACUCUUCAUUUUGUGCUAGUCAUAGUAAGGCCCAAAAGGUGUUACAUCCAAAUGAAGGUAAUCACGCACUUCAAGAAUUCCUUGCCGCACGUAAUCCAAAGCAACAACACAGUAGUACAUUGGAAUCGUACUUAAUCAAACCGAUACAACGCAUCCUUAAGUAUCCUUUGCUAUUGCAACAGUUGCGCAAUUUAACAGAUGCACGAGCUGAUGAACAUUUACAUUUGUGCGAGGCGCUCAAGGGCAUGGAAAAGGUGGCUGAGCAUAUCAAUGAAAUGCAACGAAUACACGAGGAAUAUGGUGCUAUAUUCGAUCAUUUAUUCCGACAACAUCAGAAGUCAUGCAAGCAACCAAUUGAUUUAAGUCCAGAUCAUUCAUUCCUCGAUACAGGUGAUUUGCUCUAUUAUGGUGGCGUUGAGUGGCUUAACAUUUCCGACUUUCUGGGUAAAAUCAAGAAAGGCUUAGAGUUGCAUGCGAUGUGUUUUGUUUUUAAAUCAGCGGUUGUGUUCCUGUGCAAAGAACGUUUGCGUCAAAAGAAAAAGUUAAUGGGCGUUUCGAGUAAAAACGCACCCAACGAAGUCGAAAUUAUACGCUAUCAAGUUCUCAUACCAGUAACCGAGGUACAAGUGCGUGCCUCUUCUGCAAAAGAUAUGGACUCACACUUUUUAUGGGAAUUGAUACAUUUACGCUCACAACUUCAACGACGCUCCGAAAAAGUUUACGUACUCUCUAACAGCACGGCUGAUUUUCGAAAUGCUUUCCUUAAGACUAUAAGACAGAUCAUACGAGAAAGUGUACGCAAUAUGUCAAUUCCGAUGAAGGGCUUCGGUAGUAGUGGCUCUGUGUCGGGAAUCUCUUCACAAGGGGGCGGUUCUGGCAGUUCGCAAACACUUGAGCGGCCAAAGCAACAGAUAACAAUCAUACAAGGCUCACAGACUUUGGGUAAACCGAAAAAGAAGUCGGGUUCGCAGCGUCAUUCUGCCGGUAACAUUGAUUAUGAUAACUUAUCCGGCAGUCAAGAGGCCGAAGACGUGCCAAUACUGCAUCAACAUCAUCAACAGCAACAACAGCUGCAACCUAGUGGAUUCCGCGGACGAAGCAAGACCGUAGGUGAUGCUACAGAUCCACUGCAACAGCAGCUUCACCAACAUCAAAAACAUAUGCAACAUCAUCAACAGCAACAACAGCAGCAUAUGCACCACCACCAUCAGCAGCAACAAGUGCAUCAUCAGAGUGACAUUGAGCGUAUGGAUCCUGGUACCAAGUCUGAAGGAGAAGAGGACUCCCAGCAAGGCACAAUCAAAGCGAAAGCCACGCUGGGUCGAACACCAAAUCAUUUGACCUUAAGCACCACAUCAACCCUGUCGGUCGGCAGCACUGGUAGUCAAGCGCGUUUGAUACAAUCAUCCCAUCCGCCAUCAAGCUAUCAACCAGUACUCAUGAAAGAUUUAGAAACUAAGCAAUUUUUACAUAAUCCAUCAAGAUGUUGACAUAUUUUUUCUUCGCUAAGAUAUUCGGUUGAAUGGCUAAUACGAUUACAAAUAGUACUACCUUCCAAGCUUAGCUCCAUUUUCGAACGCUAAAAGGGGUCCCCGGUGUGGAAACCACGAGACAUGAUUAAUUUAGGCGAUGCACAGUCGACGACGCGCAAAGAUGAUGCGAACAAAUAAAGC
This 6896-nucleotide unclassified non-coding RNA is filed under the name Ceratitis capitata (Mediterranean fruit fly). RNAcentral's name for it is "protein still life, isoform SIF type 1, transcript variant X3". Lineage: Eukaryota; Metazoa; Arthropoda; Insecta; Diptera; Tephritidae. The record is from RNAcentral.